GACGAACGCUGGCGGCGUGCUUAACACAUGCAAGUCGAACGGAAAGGCCCUGCUUUUGUGGGGUGCUCGAGUGGCGAACGGGUGAGUGACACGUGAGUAACCUGCCCUUGACUUUGGGAUAACUUCAGGAAACUGGGGCUAAUACCGGAUAGGAGCUCCUGCUGCAUGGUGGGGGUUGGAAAGUUUCGGCGGUUGGGGAUGGACUCGCGGCUUAUCAGCUUGUUGGUGGGGUAGUGGCUUACCAAGGCUUUGACGGGUAGCCGGCCUGAGAGGGUGACCGGCCACAUUGGGACUGAGAUACGGACCAGACUCCUACGGGAGGCAGCAGUGGGGAAUAUUGCACAAUGGGCGGAAGCCUGAUGCAGCAACGCCGCGUGCGGGAUGACGGCCUUCGGGUUGUAAACCGCUUUCGCCUGUGACGAAGCGUGAGUGACGGUAAUGGGUAAAGAAGCACCGGCUAACUACGUG
RNAcentral lists this ribosomal RNA (468 nucleotides) under uncultured bacterium. RNAcentral describes it as "partial 16S ribosomal RNA". It matches the Rfam family "Bacterial small subunit ribosomal RNA", at positions 28 to 507 of the family's 1533-position model. The record is from RNAcentral.